This is a long non-coding RNA of Erpetoichthys calabaricus (reedfish), 2804 nucleotides long. RefSeq lists it as uncharacterized. NCBI's taxonomy places the organism in Eukaryota, Metazoa, Chordata, Cladistia, Polypteriformes, Polypteridae. The transcript has 3 exons. The record is from RefSeq and is a predicted model, not a curated record.
UGACGGGACCAGCCCACCUCAAGGAACAAAGAGCUCAGUAAGUCAGAGAAUCAGAGGACGAGGGGAUAAGCAUUUAACAGAGCGUCAAAAGGUGUCGCAUUCCUGGUAACUUGGUCUCUGAGCCAGCUCAGUCCAAAAUGGAAAAGAAAACCGAGAGGCCGAAUAAACGGGAGACUUCAACUCCAGAGAGAGCAGGAUGGCAACAGCCCGUCUCUCCUGCUGCGAUGGCUGCUGCCUACUCUGUCAACAAUCCUCCAGGCUACAGACCUACUGGACGCCCUCGUACAGGCCACGUCAAGGCCUGUCCACCAGUAUUGACCUAUUUGGUCAUCGGAGGUGGUCCCCCGCAGCUGAUGAACGUUGGAUACAGUGGACGAGCCCCACCCUGGAAAUCACAAAGCAAGGAGCCAAAACUCUGUAAUGUCCAUCUGUCCUCCAGUUCAACAACUCAUCUUCGACAAAGUUACCGAAAAGUGACCGGCCUUUGGAGACGAGCCUUUAAAAAGUUACAGAAAGCGUUUAAGGCCAUACUGCCUGGAGGGAAAUGGGAGACGCCUUAGGCAGGUUGGGCUACCUUCUCUAUCUAUCUAUCUAUCUAUCUAUCUAUCUAUCUAUCUAUCUAUCUAUCUAUCUAUCUAUCUAUCUAUCUAUCUAUCUAUCUAUCUAUCUAUCAUAUGAUGCCUUUUUUAUAGCACCUUUUUCUCUGUCUUCCUGUCUCUAAUUGUCAACUGAAAAUCGUAUAAUGAAAUUUAUUCUUUCAUGUCUUCUCAUUUGACAAAAUUACAACCCACUCAAACAAAAAAGACAAAGAAAGAUACAUACUUAUAUAGUUAUAUAUAUAGUUAUAUGCAAUGUGUAUAGUAUUAUAUAUUUAUCCACAGUUUUGUGUAUAACAAUAUACAUAUUCUUAGGGUAUAUAGUGCCUUUUGCAUUUAUCAAUAUUAUCUAGCACCUUUCAUGUCUGUCUGUCUAUCUGUAUAUUUAACUAUCUAGUAUAUGGUGCUAGUAACUUUGAAAAUGGUAAGAUAUUCUUUUUAUGCUUGUACACAUAGUGCCUUUUCUAUCUAUCAAUGCACUCAGAGAUUAUAUAAUGCUUUUCCUAUCUAUUAUAUAGUGCCUUUUUUAUAAGGUAAUUUUCUUUCUGUCUUCUCUAGUCAUUUUGGGUAAGUUAGGUUUAUUGUCAUGUGCAAACAGUACAAUGAAAUAAAAUAAUACACUGUAAAAUCAGAAAGAAAGAAAGUAUACUUAGCAUGCAACAUAUAUAGUUUUAUACAUAACAUAUACAUAAUAUAUACAUAACUAUGUAGUUAUAUACAAUAUAUACAAUAUGCAUUUGCAAGUUUGUUAUAAUUAUACACACUGUUAGGCUACAAUAUAUGAAUUCUUAAUAUAUAUAGUGCCUUUAAAAUAUUUAUUAUAUAGCACCUUUCACAUCUAUCCAUGUAGCUCUGUAGUAUAUAGUUCUAUUCAUAUCUAGAAUUAAGUAGCUUUGUGAAUCAUAAGAUAUUCUCUUUAAAGUUAUAUACAGGUAUGUACUGUAUCACAUGGUGCCUUUUCAAUCUAUGUACCUAUACACAGAUUAUACAGUUCCUUUCUUAUCUAUCUAUCUAUCUAUCUAUCUAUCUAUCUAUCUAUCUAUCUAUCUAUCUAUCUAUCUAUCUAUCUAUCUAUCUAUCUAUCUAUCUAUCUAUCUAUCUAUCUAUCUAUCUAUCUAUCUAUCUAUCUAUCUAUCUAUCUAUUCUUAAUUUCAGUGUAAAACUUGAAGCCUACAGAGAUGGUUGAAGGGUCCUUCCUACAGUGCAGGCUGACUCCUGAUACUCUACUGGUGUUACAACACUUCCCUCUGCUGCAUGACUUCAGCACUGCACAAAGAGAUUUGAACACGCAGUGGUCCCAAGAUGCAGGAUAUUCUAAAACUGCUUAAGCAAUAGCUGCUGGUCUUCCACAUGUCAUGCAUAGACACUGAGAGUUAUUAACAACUGACUGGAUAUCCAACCACAAGGCUGUAAUGUUAUUGAAGGGAAUCACGGAAACCAUAACUGUGGUCUUAGAUUAAAACCUUGACAAGACCUUUUAAAUGAAUCUGACUUUCAGUCCGUGUUGACUGAAGAGAGAUUUACCACUAAACUGCUGGCCUCCUAGACGUUAUGUAACAUCACAUUCUCAAACCUGCAUAAUCCAGUUCAGGGCUGGUGUGGGCAGGGGGCUCCUUUGAGAAUUAAUAAUGUAAAUUAGCUAUAACCACAUAUCCAUCCAUUUAUCUGACCAAGGAUUACUGAUCUGUAGUCCUCAGCAAAUGCAAGAAAGAUUGUAAAUGAACUUGCACUUUCAUUGUAUAUAUAUAAAUAUAUAAAUUCUUAUAAGAUAUGAUUUAGAAGACACUGCAUAUAUAUACUGUAAUAUUUUAUGAACUAUAUACAGUACAUUAUAAAAGUGUUUUAUAAUUAAAAUAAUUUACAUUUAUUCAUCUGUUGCCAAACUUGUUUAAUACAGUUCAGAGUCAUGGGAGCUGAAAGUCACAAGGCAUGAAGGGGGAUUCCAGUCCAUUACGGUGCACACUCACCAGCUCAGUUUAAUGCUGGCAACUUACCAAACUGUGCAAUGCUUUAGAAAAAAAAAGGAAUUGCACCCCACACAGACGAGGGGGAACAUGCAAAAUCUAUACAGGCAUUGACUGGGUUUGGAUUUGGAUUAAGUCUCCUUGAGCAUUCUGCUUGACUUGCAGAUAAAAUCACAUUUGCCUUUCUGCUUAGUGUAAUGCCUGUCCUGACAGCACGGAGUGCAAUAAAGGAUCCAAAGCUAAA